RNA transcript from Hyalella azteca, 8414 nucleotides. RefSeq lists it as uncharacterized. Lineage: Eukaryota; Metazoa; Arthropoda; Malacostraca; Amphipoda; Hyalellidae. The record is from RefSeq and is a predicted model, not a curated record. The transcript has 7 exons.
AGAGUGUUAAUUAUAAUGAAGCAAAACAGUGGAUCUAGCAAUGGAGUGAUAACAUUUCGUAAAGUGGUAUUUAAUUCCACUAGUGACUCCAGUGUUGCUUCUGGAAUAGCAAAUGGCUCCAUGACAUAUUCUGGGAACAUUACAACAUCUCAAGCUGUAAAUAAUGGAGUACUAAUGCAGAGUGUUGCUGGAGUUGCUUCGAAUGGCUCAUUAAUGCAUUCAGUGAAUGGCAGUGGAGCAAUCAGUUGUGUCAAUUCCAAUGUUGUUAAUGUUGGAGCCAUGUUGGCCAACACCAAUAAUGGAGUGGUUACCUCAGUUACUGGUAGCUUACCUUCCUUCACUGCUAAUGGCAUUUCUACCAUUGCUUCCAAUGGGGUUCUUCAAACCAACUUAGCCAAUGGCAAUACAAUUAUUAGAGCCCAAAAUGGCAAGAUGAUCACAACUUCCAAUAUUGUAGGUGCUGCUCCUGCAACUAAUGUCCCAACUAUGGGUAAAUUGUGCCUUACACAGCAGCAGCUGCAAAAGUUGUUAGAGCAACAGUUACAGCAGCAACCUCAGCUAGGGUCUCAGCCUCAGAUCAUCAGACUUCAAAAUCCUCAACAGCAACUAAUUCGACUUCAACAGCAACCACAGCAAGUUCUCAGACUCCAGCAGCCAACACAAACUCAGAUCAUUCGUAUUGCUCCCAACAACAAAUUACAUCAGGGGCAUCAGCUACCUGAUGGUAGAAUAAUUAUCAAUCAGCCUUUCCAGAUAACAGCUCAACAAUUGCAGCAACUUCAACAGCGUCAACAAACUCCUAUUGCAAUACAAUCCCUUCAGUUGCAACCACAGCAGCAACAAGUUGUUUUACCUGGCGUUCAGCUUGUGUCAAUUGCAAGUGCUCAUGCUUUGUUGGAGAAGCAACAGCAGCAGCAGUCUAUGAAUGUCACCAAUCAAGUUGUUGCAACCACUAGUCAACAAAUAGGUGGAUCUCAGCCACAGCUUCACUUACAAGCUAUUCAACCCCACCCACAAAUAAUUUCAGUUUCACAAUCCCAACAAUUAUUAUCAGCAAUUUCUAAUGUGGCUAGCAUUCCUAACUCGGUCGUCCAAUCAAAUUGUGUGUCUGUGAAUGGCACAGCACCUUCAGCACCUGCUAUUAUGCCCUCCAAUAAUGUUCAGAGCAAAGAGAGUGAUAUGCCAAGCUUUCAGUCCCCCCUUGCUGAGGUGGAAAUGAAUGUUCCUUCAACUAAUCAAGAUAGUGAGUUGGAUGGAGGUAAAAAUUGUCAACUGACCAAUGGUGCUGCUGUUGAGGCUCAGGAAAACACUCAGCCUCAGACCUCUUCUCCAGAAAUUCAUCAAGAUGAUGAUGAUGAUGACGAUAUUCAAGAAGUUGGCCAGGUUAUCAACACAACCAGUAAUGGUUUUCUGUCAGGCACUGAAAAGACUGCAGAGUUGGAGAAGAAAGAAGAUGCUGGUGGUGGCGGUGAAUCAGACCCUGGAGUUAUUGACAUUGUCAUCAACAAUGUUGUGUGUUCGUACUCUGUUGGGUGCCAUAUAAACUUGCGGGAAGUAGCUACAAAUGGCAAUAAUGUGGAGUACCGGCGAGAGCAUGGGAUGGUGACGAUGAAGCUACGCAAACCCCCCACGACAGCUUCCAUCUGGUCUUCUGGCAAAAUUACCUGCACAGGUUCAACAUCAGAAGUCGAGGCACGCACGGCCGCUCGUCGCGUGGCUCGCGCUCUGCAAAAGCUUGGCUGCAAGACGCGCUUCAAGAACUUCCGUGUCGUCAACGUUCUCGGCACAUGUACCAUGCCCUUCGCCAUUAAGAUCACGCCCUUCUCACGGCAGCACCGCAACAGUGCAAGUUAUGAACCAGAGCUCCACCCUGGCGUUACCUACAGAAUUCCUCACCCUAAAGCAACCCUCAAAAUAUUCUCGACUGGCAGCAUAACAGUCACUGCACCGAGCAUCGCUAACGUGCAGGCAGCCAUCGAGCAUGUGUAUCCUCUGGUGAGCGAGUUCUCCAAAGAACGCACGGCCGAAGAGGAGGCGCGACGUAGCGCGACCAGCGUCGCAAACCACGCCGUGCGACAUCGACCCGUUGGCUUCUCUCUUGAUGAAGAUGAAGAAGAGGAACCUGGUGUGGGGCCGCCUUCCUUCAUAGAUGAGUUUCCUGACUCGCCACCAUCAUUCAUGAAGCGCAAGCGUAGCGAUUUGUCUUUCGGGAACGACAAUAAGCUUAGAAAAUUAGGUCCUAUUGAUCUUGUGUCUGACGACUCCGAUGAUAGUUCUGAUGAUAUGGAAGACGUCGAUGACGGAUUCUCUUGAACUUCAUAAGUGAACUAGUAUUUACUCCUUCUUGUGGCUUAUAAAGUUUCUUGAAGGUUCAGCUUAAUGAACAAAUAUCUGCCCAUUAAUGAUGACCAACUAGCGCAACAAUGUGUAAAGCAGUAUCAAUCCAUAUUCACGUUAAAACGAGAACUAAACUUCACGAGAACUCCUCGAAUUUAUCAGUACUCACAAUCAGUCUCGAUUUGCCCCUGUAAUUUGGGACAAUUUUUGCAGCAUUUUGGUAAUGCUGCAACUUUUCAAGAAAUUGUAGGAAUCCAGCUGUUUGUGUGCCUAUUGUUCCUAUUUUGCAACGGAAUGGUGUCGUUGCUUUUCUUCAUGUGGAUGGAGUCAUGGGGAUCAAUAAUGUCUGUUUUUCUACCAUUAUCUGUCUCAAGUUCAUGUUGGAACAUAACUUUGUUUUUUUCGUAAUUAACCUCUUUACUCGUUUUUAGCGAUUGACUCGAUAGUCGUCUGGUGAGAUUAUUUUGUAUCCUGUCCUUACUAUUACGAUUCCUUUAGAUGUUCACGAGCCAAAGUUCCCUUAAGUUACACAGUGAAUUUGGUCGAGUGGAAAAGCAGUUUUUGCUUUAAGUAGUCUGGUACGGCACGAUAAAAUGCGAGAUGCUUUCUUUGAUCAUGCCCAUAGCAAUUUAUUGAACGGUCCUUUGAUUAUUAGAAAAUUUUCACUUCCAGUGACCAUAAUCUCGGCACAUAGUUUUUUUCAUUUCAAGAUUGCUCGACCGUCUUCAGUCCCCAACACUUGUAAACUUUGCUGGAUUUAAAAAUCGAUUCAACUUUUAGCUUUUCAGAUCAAGACUGCUACUGGAUUGUAAAAUGAUUGUUAUGUUCUGGUUUUGAUUAUUCACGCUAAAGAUAGACAACGUGAUGUGACUUUUUCUUUGGCUAAUUAUUGAAACGAAAGUGUCAAAUUUUUUGUCGUAACGCAAAACUGGUUAUUGAUACACAGAUUUCCAUUCGAUUUUGUUUGAGAGAAAUCGUUGCUUCUCUCACUUGUUUUCAGGAAAGGACUACUUGCCAUUCUUGUAAAUUUAUCCUUUUUCUUCCCCCUAAGUUGUUCCUAGCGAAUAUUUUCUUAUUCCAGAUCUUGAAUUCAUUACCAAAAAUUAUUUUCGUCCACCAAACUGCUCCAACUGUAAACUAAUCAUUAGCUAGGUUAGUGCCAAACCAGUGCUGAGUUGCGGUAGAACAAUGUGAUGUAGUGUGCUCUGUAAGUUGUUAUUUAUUUGAUUUCGUUUCAAUUGGUUACACAACGAGUGCAAGUUUCUAAUCUGCUAGCUCUUCUUCUGCAUAAAAGCUGACUGAAUUUACGCUGGUGCAAUUCAUUCAUGUGGUGCAUGAUUAAAUGGGUUGCACUUUAUCCAACACUUGUAAGUAAUUACCAUCGAAUUGGGUUGUUCGUAAAUUUCCACUUGCAGAAUGUUAGCAAGAAUAUUAGAGCGCCUGGAAUGAGCUGUAUUAAGCCUUCGGUAUCCUGGCUGCUGUGACGGCCCGCGUUACACUGGAAGUUUAGGGCAUGUCCAUUGUCCAGUCUAUAGGAGCAGACAUGAUGGGUAUUCUUCAUUGAUGUUGUGGCUGGAGUAAAUCGUUAUUCUAGUUUUAUUUAAUUUUAAUUUCCGUUGUUGCUUCUAUUAUUAGAAUUUCCCAUUCGUUUUGCUCGGUUGUUUAAUCACCUUCCUUGAUGUGUUUGCACAUGUGAUUUUAAUGUUUCACUUUGAUCAAUAAUUUUUAUCAUUCUAAUCUAAAAGACAAUGUUAACUUUUUUGUCAACCCUUGGCAUUGGUUGAUGAAUCAACUUGUUGGCUGCACACUUGCUAUGCUGAGUUCACGACUCAUUCGUGAAUGUUAUAGUGUUAACUUCGCCUUAUAAUUCUGUAAAUUAUAUCAAUGUAUCAAUGUGAGGUCAGUAAAUUGUGCAGCCAUCAAUAUUUAACGCAGGUAUUUAUUGUGCCAAUAUUGGUCACGUCGUAUUAAAUAACUGAUAAUAGUUUCACCGAUAAUACAGAUUUAUAUCAAAUCGUAUUAUGAAUACUUCAUCUAAUAACAAUGACUAGCACCCAUCACAGCGAAAUCGUGUGUUGCACGUUUGUUCCACGCUCAACAGAAUUCCUCUUAUAUUCAUUUUCAGAAUAGUUGCGAACUUGAAUUGAUAGUAUUAUUUGUGAACUGUGAGAAGGGAGACUGUAGUAAGUUUGGAAUAGUGAAAACAAAUUUUUUCAUUGUCCACUGUGUUUGCUUCAAAAUGUUAAACUUGUGUUUUCUGGCAAGAUUAUGAGAAUUUCGGUGUGAUAAUAAGGGCUUUAAAACAAGAUGUUAACUCGCGUGAGCGAGUGCCUAGCUACUGCUAUGCUGCCUAGAUUUUGUGUCGCGCGUAACAGUAAAACUCUUAUGCUUCCUCAGAGCUCGUCAUUAUUUCAUUGAUGUUUUUCGUGCAUAGGUAUUAUCUCAUUUCUCUCACGCGAUUCUCGACUGUCACUAAAUCUGUAGCUAAAAAUCGUUUUGCUUAUUAACGGAAUUAUUUAUGUUUUUGCAAGUCAUCCGUUAGCCUUACUUGUCCGCAUUCGCUCAGGAAUCCAUCUUGAGGAAAAAUGGCAUAUCAGUAUCAGGAAGAUUUACUUAUACUAAUACGUGCACAAUUUUAGGUAUAAAAAUUGAAGUGUUUUGGUGAACCGCUGCGGUUGGAUUUUGGUGUCUUUGUGAUGAUUUAAUAAGUAAAUUAACUGUGUGAUUAAAUCCUCUGCACGAGCCAACAUUUUUGCUAUGGUUGACCGAAAUAAUUUUACUAAUAAAAGCAACGCAGUGAGCGAAAUAAUAAAAAGUAUUUGGUUAUAAUAAUAGAUCAAUUGGAUAAGAUCACGUCCCCCUCUUGCCUGGAGUUGACGCGUACUGGCUGUUUGAAGCGAUCCUUGCAUAGCGGCUGUGAACGUGACUUCCCGUGUUAGCUGAGCGUCUUUAAUAGCUUGCGCUCCUUGGUAUACUUGGUAUUUGUUACGGACGUAGCAGUCCCAGGCCACGAUGGAUCGCCGCCUCCCGGUCUGCACGCUUUUCCGCAUCUAAAUAGACCGAGGAAAAUAUAACUUUUUUCGCAUUUAUAUUAUCUUGGAGUCUGUCUUCUUCUAAUCCGUUUUGCUCAAAUUGAUCUAUAUUGUUGAGUUAAAUGGCUGAAAUUUGUUUCAAGAUCAAUAGAACAAUUGCUAAUAACUCAUAUUGAUUUUAGUAAUGUUUACCUGUUAUUUUUUAGUUCAUCAAUCCAAAGAUGGGCGUAAGCAACCUAAGCCUCUUGUGUUGUUUCUGUUCUAGCGCAAUUCAAAUUAUGAUCAUAUUGAAUUAUAAUAUUUAUCAAUUAUUACUAAGUGAACAUUUCAUAGUCUUGGGUGAGCUAUUGUGCAUCUCAAGAUCAUGCUACAUAUUAUCAAAACGUGGAGGCCAGCCUUGUCUUUUGUGUGGUUUGGUGGUCGCAAUCCCUUCGUUGCGUUGUCAUUUUCCCGUAUUAAUAUAUCUACGUCUUAGCAAUUUGAAAGCUCUUUGGUUUAUUUUGUAAAUACUUAGGUUACAUGUGGUCUAGAAGUUCCGUGUUAAUACGUAGUAAUUUAAUUUAGAUAAACGUUGAAGUCAGAUGGCAUUGGUAGUUUUGUUCCAUCACGAACGUUUCUACAUCACUUCGCGUAAGAUCUGCCUGUACAGCUGCAGCCAAGUAGUUCAUGUGCUUCUCGUGUAUCAUACAACACAAUUGCCUUUUAGUGCUCUUCUUACAUGGUAAUUGUUCAUUAAUAUCAAAGUAGUUAACGAGCUACUUGGCAGUGUAUUAAUUUUCCCAUGUUGAUUGAAUUUAGUUUGUAAGUAAAUUUUUACAGUAGUUUCAACAUGCAUAAACUAUAGAGACAACAAAUUCUUUUUCAUUUGCUAGAUAUUGACAAGAAUUCCAUCGCUAGUUUCAAAUUGAAACUUCAUGCGAUUAGCUCGCGUAAAACGUGCUCCCGCUGUAGAUUUAUUUCGUGGCCUAACGUUCAACUGAAUGCUUCAUUUCGCAGUAAAGUUAAAUGUUGCCAGCAAUGUUCAUUAGUACCACUUCUACUCAAGGUUAAAAUUCUCACGAUUCUCUUCACUGAUCUCUCGGCAAACUCGUUACACUGGAUGCGUGGGAGGUCAUUCGUAUUGUGCUUUCUUCAGUCAUGUGCUCUUUGUUUUGAUGGGUUCAUGGCGUUUUUGUAAAUUUAUUUUUGGUGCCACUUAUUUUAUUUACAUUCAAAGUAUGACAGUAGGUCGAGUUGUAUUGAGUAAAUGAGUAAAGAACAGAAUUUGGAAGGAGCCCAUCAUAGCAAGACUGAAGUUUAUCUUUGGCACAGCUCGAAAUUCCUCUCCACAGAAUGCCUCCUUUAGCCCUUCAGCAUUUGACUUCUGUGUAAGACAUCUAACGUUGAUCCUAGAGCUUGCCAAACAACUUGAAAUUGUAUUCAGACUUUAAUACAUAUUUUGUAAGGCGCUGCCCUCAACAAAUGGUCACCGAUUAGACCGCACAAGUCUUUUAGCUCAAUUCUGUGUGAGCGUUGAUUGUGGUUCGUCUAUUUACAGGAGCUGCUUUGACCAUUCAUAUCAGUAGCCUUAUUGAGAGUUACGGUGGUCUGUGAGAAAAUCUUGCUUAGCACUACAUGAGAGAUCCACUCAUCUGAAAUUAUUCUUCCUGCAGAUCUGUGAUGACUUGCUACCGGUAGCGAUGCCCGGUGGGUUUGGCAUUGUCGCUGGCAUUUUACCAGCCUUAACUUAUUGCCCUCACUUAUUAUUAAUAAUUUAACGUAGCAUCUAACAUAGCUGUAAGUUACGUGUGCGUAUAUUGUUUCCUUGCAUUUUUUGAGCAAUGCCGAUGCGUCUCGUCUCGCCUGUAGAUGCUAAUGACGCCAGGGCCCACCGCCAGCUCACAAUUCACCGGCGUUUAUUUUUACAUUGCUCAAGUUUUGACCAAAUCUCACGUAGUGGCGGCUUGCGUUUCUACUUUAGUUUCAGCGUUAUGAAGGUGGCAUAUAACACUUUCUCGUGAUGACUAACUUUUUGCACGAGUUUCGGCCAGUGAUGAAAUGACUAACAACCAGACGGCUUCAAGUUUGAUCACCCCACUAAGCUUUCAGUCGCACUUAUUACGCCUUUGUCGACUGUUAAUUAAUGGUUUCGUUAAGUGCGUGUCUUACUAACAUUAGCUUUUAUGGCUUCCAGUGUUGCGCGCUUCCUUUCUUUGCCCACCGCUUUUCAUUGUUCCGCAUUUCAUUUCCAGAUUUGAUACUAUUUCCCUUCCAGUGGAAAUAGUGAUAUUUACCGUUCAUAGGUCGUAAUUUAUCUGUAAUUGGACGUUUUUCCCUCGGGAAUAUCAUGACAAAAUGUACAGCGGAACACGAUAACUACAAGAUGUCUUUCAUGUUCUUUUUCUGUAUUGGGCUCGACCACAUGGUGCAUGUGUCAACUUUCUGGCGCAUUGUUAUGGAUUUCUGUUGGCCUUGCUGCAUUUAACGAAAAUUUCCUUGUGCUGCACUGCUGUACAUAAGUUGCGUUUCAUGUUCCUUUCCAUCAUUAUCAGUAGUAUUAUUGGAGAGUAUUUCCGUGUGCUUAUUGUAGCUUUUCUUUUGUUCGUUCAAUCACUCAAGUUAGCUGUCAAAAUGCGCGCCUUCUUCCCUCUUCUUGCUCUCCUAUGUACUUAGUCAUUUAUAGACGCCACUGUCUACUGAUCCAGUACCACAGGGUGUAAUCUGACCAUUUUUUUGCUGGAACAUUGAACUUUCAAUUUGGACUCUGCGCAAUUGAUAUCGAUGUAAUUGUUAGACAUUUUUUCAAAGUUUAUGUAGUCGUCUGUCUGAGCCGAGACGAUCGUAUCCAGUUAGCUUGUUCUUUGCAGAGGAAGGUGAAACGAUCAACGGCUGGUGAUCAUUGGAAAAUUUGUUUUAGUUGUUGAAUUCUGUUGUGUACACAUGAGACUGCGAACAAGAUUGUACGUUAAGGAUAGUAUCACAACCUUUUGCACUUUGUUUCUUUUGUACUGUCUGACAGCUUGAAAAAUUUCAGUGUUUUAUAACGUGUAAAAGUACUCUACAGUU